GAUGAACGCUGGCGGCGUGCCUAAUACAUGCAAGUCGAGCGAACAGAUGAGGAGCUUGCUCCUCUGACGUUAGCGGCGGACGGGUGAGUAACACGUGGAUAACCUACCUAUAAGACUGGGAUAACUUCGGGAAACCGGAGCUAAUACCGGAUAAUAUAUUUAACCGCAUGGUUCAAUAGUGAAAGACGGUUUUGCUGUCACUUAUAGAUGGAUCCGCGCCGCAUUAGCUAGUUGGUAAGGUAACGGCUUACCAAGGCGACGAUGCGUAGCCGACCUGAGAGGGUGAUCGGCCACACUGGAACUGAGACACGGUCCAGACUCCUACGGGAGGCAGCAGUAGGGAAUCUUCCGCAAUGGGCGAAAGCCUGACGGAGCAACGCCGCGUGAGUGAUGAAGGUCUUCGGAUCGUAAAACUCUGUUAUUAGGGAAGAACAAAUGUGUAAGUAACUAUGCACGUCUUGACGGUACCUAAUCAGAAAGCCACGGCUAACUACGUG
This 497-nucleotide ribosomal RNA is filed under the name uncultured bacterium. RNAcentral describes it as "partial 16S ribosomal RNA". It matches the Rfam family "Bacterial small subunit ribosomal RNA", at positions 28 to 507 of the family's 1533-position model. The record is from RNAcentral.